GGGGCCAUAGCUCAACUGGCUAGAGCGCAUCCAUGGCAUGGAUGAGGUUGUGGGUUCGACCCCCAUUGGCUCCACCA
RNAcentral lists this transfer RNA (77 nucleotides) under Candidatus Peregrinibacteria bacterium. RNAcentral's name for it is "tRNA-Ala". It matches the Rfam family "tRNA". From Rfam's summary of the family: Transfer RNA (tRNA) molecules are approximately 80 nucleotides in length. Lineage: Bacteria; Candidatus Peregrinibacteriota. RNAcentral also lists the same sequence under 1 other name. The record is from RNAcentral.